This 429-nucleotide long non-coding RNA is filed under the name Pongo abelii (Sumatran orangutan). RNAcentral's name for it is "lincRNA". The record is from RNAcentral. Lineage: Eukaryota; Metazoa; Chordata; Mammalia; Primates; Hominidae.
UUUUUUUCAAAUCUCAGUUUUAUUCCCAUUCCAGCCUCCUAAUACUUUCCCUUUGGAUUUUUUUUUUUAAUCUUGAGAAGUCUGUGUCUUUUAGUGUAGUAAUAACAAUAAUAGUAUUUUUAGCAUACCCAUUAUGCCAAGGGCUUUUAAAAGAUACUUUUUAUAAACCAACUCAUUUAAUUCUCACAACUUUUGAAGUAGUCCAAUUUCUAAUCCUCAUUUUACAGAUAAGGAAACUGAGGCACACAAGGUUAGCUAACCUGCCCGAGGUCUCUGGAUAGUAACUGGAAGAGGUGUUCUCUGGAUAUUAUUUGAAUCUCAGUCUCCCUAUUUUUCUUCGUCAUGACUUUAACUUUCCUCCUGUAUUUCUAAAUAUUUUAAUCUCUUGGUCAUAUAGAAUACCUUGAUUUAUAAGUCACUUUUACAGCA